This 655-nucleotide long non-coding RNA is filed under the name Marmota monax (woodchuck). Lineage: Eukaryota; Metazoa; Chordata; Mammalia; Rodentia; Sciuridae. The record is from RNAcentral.
UUUUUUUUAGGUGAAAGACCUGAUGAGAGGUGAACUGCAUGGUUUUGAACACCUGGAUUUAGUAGGCCCCUAACAUAUUUAUUUAGUUCUUGUUAAAAUUUGGACUUGGAAUGUCCCCUAGAGGCUCAUGUGUUGAAGGCUUGGUCCCCACUGCAGCAAGAUACAGAGGUUGGGCUUUUGGAAAGUGAUUGGAUCCCGACGGCUCUGACCUUACCAACAGUCCAAUCCAUUGAUGGAUCCAUGGCUGAAUGGACCGUUGGGGGGUGGUGGAAACUGUAGGGGUGGGCCUAGUUGGAGAAAUAGGUCACUGAGGGCAUGCCCUAGAAGAGGACAUCUUGUCCUGGCCCCUUCCUUACUCUGUCUCUGCUUUCAAGCCACCACAAAUGAGCAGCUCUGCUCUGCUACAUGUUCCUUGACUUGAUGUUCUGACUCAUGACAGGUCCAGAGUGAUCAUCAUAGAAACCAUGCCAUCACAGAAACCAAGUGAUCAUGGACUGAAACCUCUGAAAAUGUGAACCAGAAUAAACCUUUCUUCUAUUAAAUUGUUUUCUCAGAUAUUUUAUUACAGUAAUGAAAAGCUAACUAAUACAUUCUCAUAACAAUUGUAGAAAGUAAAUAUCAUUAUUCCUAUCAUACAGAUUUGAAGAUAGUGGCU